GAUCCUGGCUCAGGAUGAACGCUAGCUACAGGCUUAACACAUGCAAGUCGAGGGGCAGCAUGGUCUUAGCUUGCUAAGACUGAUGGCGACCGGCGUACGGGUGAGUAACACGUAUCCAACCUGCCGUCUACUCUUGGACAGCCUUCUGAAAGGAAGAUUAAUACAAGAUGGCAUCAUGGGUCCGCAUGUUCACAUGAUUAAAGGUAUUCCGGUAGACGAUGGGG
This 224-nucleotide ribosomal RNA is filed under the name uncultured bacterium. RNAcentral's name for it is "partial 16S ribosomal RNA". It matches the Rfam family "Bacterial small subunit ribosomal RNA", at positions 15 to 230 of the family's 1533-position model. The record is from RNAcentral.